Molecule: long non-coding RNA, 1492 nt
Filed under: Homo sapiens (human)
Lineage: Eukaryota; Metazoa; Chordata; Mammalia; Primates; Hominidae
Description: long intergenic non-protein coding RNA 2367
Source: RNAcentral
GUGAGACCCUGUCACUAAAAAUAAACAGAAAGUAAAGAUACAUAUAUAUCUCACUGUGCUAGGCUGAAUGAUGGCCUCCCAAAGAUGUUCGCAACCUAAUCUGUAAAAACUGUGAGUUUCUUACCUUACCUGGCAAAAGGGACUUUGCAGAUGUGAUUCAACUAAGGAUGUUGAGAUGGGGAGAUUCUCCUGGGUUACCUGGCUGGGUCUGAUGUAAUCACAGGAGUCCUCAUUAGAGGGAAGCAGAAAGACCAAAGUCAGAGACGGAGAUGUGGCCGUAGAAGCAGAGGUCCAUGUGCUGCGGGGCCAUGAGCCAAGGAACCCACGCCGCCUCUGGGAACUGGGAAAGGCAAGGGAGCAACGUCUCCCUGGAGCUCCAGAGUGAGCCAGCCCUGAUGACACCGUGACUUCAGCCCUCGGAGACUGACUGUGGACAUCGGACCUCUGUCACUAUUUUCUGCAAACUAGGAAUAGAAGCAAGCUUCUUAACCUGAUGUAUCGCACCUUCAAAAAGCCUACAGCAAACAUCUUACUUAGUGAUGAAAAACUGAUUGCCUUCCCCAUAAGAUUGAGAACCAGGAACUGUCCAGGAAGACCCUGCAGUCUCUCUGCAGGCUCAUGGGAGCUCCCAGAACUGAGACAACACACGGAUCCAGGCCUGCUUCGAAGUCAGUGGGAUGCGGCCCUUGAAAGUCGAUGUAUUGGGUUCCUAGGGCUCUCGUGAAAACAUGCCACACCUGGCUGGUUUUAAACAACAGGAGUUUAUUCUGUCAGUUGAGAAGGCUACAAGUGCAAAAUCAAGAUCCUAUCAUACAUAUCUAUAAGAAAUUGAAGCAUCCAAUUAUCCUUGGAAGGAAAAAAGAAAAACUUUAAAGAAAAAAAAAUAUGGCUAAACUUACAUUUUCCAAGUAGAAAAGAACAUGGUCAUUCUUGACUUCAGUCUUCAUCACUUGGCCCUUGUUUUCAAGCUUUGAAGAAAUUGUUAGGGAAGGAUAGAGAAUAGAUUUUAGAACAAAUGACAGCGCCACUGCAGAACUCAAUGUCCACUCUUUUCUACGUCACGUUCUGUUUUAUGGAACAUUCCUUGGUGCCGUGAUGUUUUCAUAAACACAGGUAGCAACUAAAGAAAAAUAUAUGAUGAACCAUGGGAAAUACUGACUGCUAAUUGGUACAAAUUAAGUAAACCAGCUCUCCAGUGUUAGCGCAAAAAUACAAAGGUGAAUGUUGAAGAAGAACUCUAUAGUUUUGUUUUGCUAAACUAUGGCUGAACAAGUAUUUAUUUUAUCUUUAUACUCUAUGUAGCUGUCUUUGUGCUGAAAGAUUAGGCUUCUAUUAUUUACCUCUUCAAUGGAUGACAUGGUUGGAGUAAAUCCUGAUAGCAUUUUUACAUCUAUAACCACCAUACUGGAUUUAUUGCGAAUUCCAGUGUAUCUGAAAAUUUUAAGAAAACACUCGUUUAGAUAUCAAUUUUAAAAAGUGACUUAUCUCAUAA